UACCUGCAGCUCAAGUGGUAACCGCUAUUAUUGGGCCUAAAGCGUCCGUAGCCGGUUUGGUAAAUAUCUGGGUAAAUCGUGAGGCUUAACUUCACGAAUUUCGGAUAGACUACCAGACUUGGGAUCGGGGGAGGUCAGAGGUACUCCAGGGGUAGCGGUGAAAUGUUGUAAUCCUUGGAGGACCACCGGUAGCGAAGGCGUCUGACUAGAACGAGUCCGACGGUGAGGGACGAAGCCCUGGGGCGCAAACCGGAUUAGAUACCCGGGUAGUCCAGGGUGUAAACGAUGUGGGCUUUGUAUUGGAGGUCCCACGUGGGCGUCCAGUGCAGAAGAGAAGUUGUUAAGCCCACCGCCUGGGAAGUACGGUCGCAAGGCUGAAACUUAAAGGAAUUGGCGGGGGAGCACAGCAACGGGAGGAGCGUGCGGUUU
RNAcentral lists this ribosomal RNA (429 nucleotides) under uncultured archaeon. RNAcentral's name for it is "bacterial SSU rRNA". It matches the Rfam family "Archaeal small subunit ribosomal RNA", at positions 474 to 903 of the family's 1478-position model. The record is from RNAcentral.